AGAGAGAGAGAGAGAGAGAGAGAGAGAGAGAGAGAGAGACUUUUUUUUUAGAGAGAUAGGUAGUACACUAUGUCUUUCGUUUAUUUUAUUUAGAAAUAAACUUAGCUGAAAAUGUGAAUCAACUAAAAUUCGAACUUGGGUCUCGAAUACCAACCACCAAACUCUUUGCCACUUGCUCUAGGGGCGGUCGGUAGAGGGACUCUUAAUCGUAUCAAGUCAAUGUGCAAUUUAAGAUGAUAGCGGUCUCUUAAGAUUGGAUGGGUAGUUGGUUGAAAAUAUGAUUUAAUAGAUGAAAAUAUUCAGAGAGGUCGAUCUAACGGUGAAAUCUCGAUAGCAGCAAGCGCAAAAAGGAUUGUCUUUUUCCUACUUUUUUGUUUUUUAGCUGUAAGGAAUAUAAUGAUUU
RNAcentral lists this long non-coding RNA (403 nucleotides) under Ananas comosus (pineapple). Its description in RNAcentral is "long non-coding RNA (ACOM_LNC011457)". Lineage: Eukaryota; Viridiplantae; Streptophyta; Magnoliopsida; Poales; Bromeliaceae. The record is from RNAcentral.